This 253-nucleotide ribosomal RNA is filed under the name uncultured bacterium. RNAcentral describes it as "partial 16S ribosomal RNA". It matches the Rfam family "Bacterial small subunit ribosomal RNA", at positions 524 to 776 of the family's 1533-position model. The record is from RNAcentral.
UACGUAGGUGACAAGCGUUGUCCGGAUUUACUGGGCGUAAAGAGCGCGCAGGCGGUCGAUCAAGUCGAGUGUGAAAGCCCCCGGCUCAACUGGGGAGGGUCAUUCGAUACUGAUCGACUCGAAGGCAGGAGAGGGUAGUGGAAUUCCCGGUGUAGUGGUGAAAUGCUUAGAUAUGACAUAGAACACCAAUUGCGAAGGCAGCUUACUACACAAAUAUUGACGCUGAGGCACGAAAGCGUGGGGAUCAAACAGG